UACGGAAGGGGCAAGCGUUGUUCGGAAUCAUUGGGCGUAAAGGGCGCGUAGGCGGUUCGUUAAGUCCUGUGUGAAAUCCCCCGGCUCAACUGGGGAACUGCACAGGAAACUAGCGGGCUUGAGUUCGGGAGAGGGAAGCGGAAUUCCGGGUGUAGCGGUGAAAUGCGUAGAUAUCCGGAGGAACACCGGUGGCGAAGGCGGCUUCCUGGACCGACACUGACGCUGAGGCGCGAAAGCUAGGGGAGCAAACGGG
RNAcentral lists this ribosomal RNA (253 nucleotides) under uncultured bacterium. RNAcentral describes it as "partial 16S ribosomal RNA". It matches the Rfam family "Bacterial small subunit ribosomal RNA", at positions 524 to 776 of the family's 1533-position model. The record is from RNAcentral.